RNAcentral lists this ribosomal RNA (488 nucleotides) under fungal sp. E15801A. RNAcentral describes it as "eukaryotic LSU rRNA". The stretch from base 152 to 305 matches the Rfam family "5.8S ribosomal RNA". Lineage: Eukaryota; Fungi. The record is from RNAcentral.
UACCGAGUUUACAACUCCCAAACCCCUGUGAACAUACCUAUACGUUGCCUCGGCGGAUCAGCCCGCGCCCCGUAAAAAGGGACGGCCCGCCCGAGGACCCCUAAACUCUGUUUUUAGUGGAACUUCUGAGUAAAACAAACAAAUAAAUCAAAACUUUCAACAACGGAUCUCUUGGUUCUGGCAUCGAUGAAGAACGCAGCAAAAUGCGAUAAGUAAUGUGAAUUGCAGAAUUCAGUGAAUCAUCGAAUCUUUGAACGCACAUUGCGCCCGCCAGUAUUCUGGCGGGCAUGCCUGUUCGAGCGUCAUUUCAACCCUCAAGCUCAGCUUGGUGUUGGGACUCGCGGUAACCCGCGUUCCCCAAAUCGAUUGGCGGUCACGUCGAGCUUCCAUAGCGUAGUAAUCAUACACCUCGUUACUGGUAAUCGUCGCGGCCACGCCGUAAAACCCCAACUUCUGAAUGUUGACCUCGGAUCAGGUAGGAAUACCCG